Molecule: ribosomal RNA, 832 nt
Filed under: Neohelicascus aquaticus
Lineage: Eukaryota; Fungi; Ascomycota; Dothideomycetes; Pleosporales; Morosphaeriaceae
Description: SSU rRNA
Rfam family: Eukaryotic small subunit ribosomal RNA
Source: RNAcentral
GGUGAUUCAUGAUAACUUCUCAGAUCGCAUGGCCUUGCGCCGGCGACGGUUCAUUCAAAUUUCUGCCCUAUCAACUUUCGAUGGUAAGGUAUUGGCUUACCAUGGUUUCAACGGGUAACGGGGAAUUAGGGUUCGAUUCCGGAGAGGGAGCCUGAGAAACGGCUACCACAUCCAAGGAAGGCAGCAGGCGCGCAAAUUACCCAAUCCCGACACGGGGAGGUAGUGACAAUAAAUACUGAUACAGGGCUCUUUUGGGUCUUGUAAUUGGAAUGAGUACAAUUUAAACCUCUUAACGAGGAACAAUUGGAGGGCAAGUCUGGUGCCAGCAGCCGCGGUAAUUCCAGCUCCAAUAGCGUAUAUUAAAGUUGUUGCAGUUAAAAAGCUCGUAGUUGAACCUUGGGCCUGGCUGGCAGGUCCGCCUCACCGCGUGUACUUGACCGGCCGGGCCUUCUCUUCUGGAGAACCUCAUGCCCUUUACUGGGCGUGUUGGGGACCAGGACUUUUACUUUGAAAAAAUUAGAGUGUUCAAAGCAGGCCUUUGCUCGAAUAUGUUAGCAUGGAAUAAUAGAAUAGGACGUGCGGUCCUAUUUUGUUGGUUUCUAGGACCGCCGUAAUGAUUAAUAGGGACAGUCGGGGGCAUCAGUAUUCAAUUGUCAGAGGUGAAAUUCUUGGAUUUAUUGAAGACUAACUACUGCGAAAGCAUUUGCCAAGGAUGUUUUCAUUAAUCAGUGAACGAAAGUUAGGGGAUCGAAGACGAUCAGAUACCGUCGUAGUCUUAACCAUAAACUAUGCCGACUAGGGAUCGGGCGAUGUUUCAAUAUUGACUCGCUCG